This 468-nucleotide ribosomal RNA is filed under the name uncultured bacterium. RNAcentral's name for it is "partial 16S ribosomal RNA". It matches the Rfam family "Bacterial small subunit ribosomal RNA", at positions 28 to 507 of the family's 1533-position model. The record is from RNAcentral.
GACGAACGCUGGCGGCGUGCUUAACACAUGCAAGGCGAACGGAAAGGCCCUGCGUUGGGGGGGUGCGCGAGGGGCGAACGGGUGAGGAACACGGGAGUAACCGGCCCUGGACUGGGGGAUAACUUCAGGAAACUGGGGCUAAUACCGGAUAGGAGCUCCUGCUGCAUGGUGGGGGUUGGAAAGUUUCGGCGGUUGGGGAUGGACUCGCGGCUUAUCAGCUUGUUGGUGGGGUAGUGGCUUACCAAGGCUUUGACGGGUAGCCGGCCUGAGAGGGUGACCGGCCACAUUGGGACUGAGAUACGGCCCAGACUCCUACGGGAGGCAGCAGUGGGGAAUAUUGCACAAUGGGCGGAAGCCUGAUGCAGCAACGCCGCGUGCGGGAUGACGGCCUUCGGGUUGUCAACCGCUUUCGCCUGUGACGAAGCGUGAGUGACGGUAAUGGGUAAAGAAGCACCGGCUAACUACGUG